CACGUAGGCUCCAAGCGUUGUCCGGAUUUAUUGGGCGUAAAGAGCUCGUAGGCGGUUUAGUAAGUCGGGUGUGAAAACUCUGGGCUUAACCCAGAGACGCCACCCGAUACUGCUAUGACUUGAGUACGGUAGGGGAGUGGGGAAUUCCUGGUGUAGCGGUGAAAUGCGCAGAUAUCAGGAGGAACACCAGUGGCGAAGGCGCCACUCUGGGCCGAAACUGACGCUGAGGAGCGAAAGCGUGGGUAGCAAACAGGAUUAGAUACCCUUGUAGUCCCUGAGACGCCAAGGCACACA
RNAcentral lists this ribosomal RNA (294 nucleotides) under uncultured bacterium. RNAcentral describes it as "partial 16S ribosomal RNA". It matches the Rfam family "Bacterial small subunit ribosomal RNA", at positions 524 to 817 of the family's 1533-position model. The record is from RNAcentral.